Molecule: ribosomal RNA, 207 nt
Filed under: uncultured bacterium
Lineage: Bacteria
Description: partial 16S ribosomal RNA
Rfam family: Bacterial small subunit ribosomal RNA
Source: RNAcentral
CGCGCAGGCGGCCGAACCAGUCAGAUGUGAAAGCCCGGGGCUCAACCCCGGAAGUGCAUUUGAUACUGUUUGGCUUGAGUAUGGGAGAGGGAAGUGGAAUUCCUGGUGUAGAGGUGAAAUUCGUAGAUAUCAGGAGGAACACCGGUGGCGAAGGCGGCUUCCUGGACCAAUACUGACGCUGAGGCGCGAAGGCGUGGGGAGCAAACA